CCCACCCACCUAACGCGAAAGAGAGACCGCUUGGACGCGAGAAGCUUCACCAGGAGUCGGGAAAGAUGCGGAGGGCGGCAGGCGUCGCGACCCCCACCCACUGUGAGGAGAGCAAACCACGAAAAGAUGAUGGCGUGAAGGACCGUAAUUAGCAAUCUCUCUCCAGAGAUGACAUUUGAUCUGAGGCCUGAAUGACCACAGGGGCCAGGAGCCAAGAGAAGAUCUGGGGCGGAGCCUUCCAGGCAGAGGAAACAGCUAAAGCAGAGGCCUGAGGUGGGAAUGAGACCUGCAGAUCAUUUACUCUGAAGGAAGCCAACUGCCCUAUGGUGAGGACACAAAGCAGUCCGAUGGAAG
Molecule: long non-coding RNA, 354 nt
Organism: Prionailurus viverrinus (fishing cat)
Lineage: Eukaryota; Metazoa; Chordata; Mammalia; Carnivora; Felidae
Exons: 3
Source: RefSeq, a predicted model, not a curated record